AGGAUUGCCAAAUAAAAAGCUCUCACCAAAAGAAUAGCACCUUCAAAUGCUGAAAGGAUUACCCGAGUAAAUAAAGCAUGACAAUUUUGUGCACGUAGAUAAAAUGAAUUCCUUGGAGGGGAAAGGUCCAUAUCCGGCAGAGCUUCUGCCACUGCUACAUUUUUUCGACAUGUUAAGGCAAAUAUACCAGGAACAACAACGGCAGAGCGGCACAAGGCCAAACUAACCGC
Molecule: long non-coding RNA, 230 nt
Filed under: Nicotiana benthamiana
Lineage: Eukaryota; Viridiplantae; Streptophyta; Magnoliopsida; Solanales; Solanaceae
Description: long non-coding RNA (NBEN_LNC000880)
Source: RNAcentral